GACGAACGCUGGCGGCGUGCUUAACACAUGCAAGUCGAACGGUGAAGCCCCAGCUUGCUGGAGUGGAUCAGUGGCGAACGGGUGAGUAACACGUGAGCAACCUGCCCCAGACUCUGGAAUAAGCGCUGGAAACGGCGUCUAAUACUGGAUACGAGAUCACGCCGCAUGGUUAUGGUCUGGAAAGUUAUUCGGUUUGGGAUGGGCUCGCGGCCUAUCAGCUUGUUGGUGAGGUAAUGGCUCACCAAGGCGACGACGGGUAGCCGGCCUGAGAGGGCGACCGGCCACACUGGGACUGAGACACGGCCCAGACUCCUACGGGAGGCAGCGGUGGGGAAUAUUGCACAAUGGGCGGAAGCCUGAUGCAGCGACGCCGCGUGAGGGAUGACGGCCUUCGGGUUGUAAACCUCUUUCAGCAGGGAAGAAGCGAAAGUGACGGUACCUGCAGAAGAAGCACCGGCUAACUACGUG
Molecule: ribosomal RNA, 468 nt
Filed under: uncultured bacterium
Lineage: Bacteria
Description: partial 16S ribosomal RNA
Rfam family: Bacterial small subunit ribosomal RNA
Source: RNAcentral